AAAAACUGGGUUGUAAAGGUAUGUGAUUUUGGCUUAUCACGAAUGAAGCAUAGCACCUUCCUUUCUUCCUGAUCAACUGCGGGAACAGCUGAAUGAAUGGCUCCAGAAGUGUUGAGAAAUGAACUUUCAGAUGAAAAGUAAGCUCUGUUAUUCUUUGCAGUUGUUGUUUUGCUUUAGGGACACGAAGGUGUUGUGAAAACCCUUCCAAUCCGACCACUCUUCCUCUAUUUAACAUUGCCACAAAGG
Long non-coding RNA from Vigna radiata var. radiata (mung bean), 246 nucleotides. RefSeq lists it as uncharacterized. The record is from RefSeq and is a predicted model, not a curated record. The transcript has 3 exons. Lineage: Eukaryota; Viridiplantae; Streptophyta; Magnoliopsida; Fabales; Fabaceae.